GGAUUAGGCAUGCAAGUCGCACGAGAAAGGCUUCUUCGGAAGCCGAGUAAAGUGGCGAACGGGUGAGUAAUGCAUAGACUACUCGCCCUUGAGAUGGGGACAACGCCUCGAAAGGGGUGCUAAUACCCAAUGCCGCCUUGGGCCUGCGGGUCCAGGGUGAAAGGAGGCCUCUGAUUCAAGCUUCCGCUCAAGGAGAGGUUUAUGUCCUAUUAGCUAGUUGGCGGGGUAACGGCCCACCAAGGCUGCGAUGGGUAGCCGACCUGAGAGGGUGACCGGCCACAUUGGGACUGAGACACUGCCCAGACUCCUACGGGAGGCUGCAGUCGAGAAUCUUCCGCAAUGCGCGCAAGCGUGACGGAGCGACGCCGCGUGGGUGAUGAAGGCCUUCGGGUUGUAAAACCCUGUCAGCUACUACGAAACACGGGCGAUGAACAAUCGUCCCGUCUGACUUAAGUAGCAGAGGAAGCACCGGCUAACUACGUGCCAGCAGCCGCGGUAAUACGUAGGGUGCGAACGUUGUUUGGAAUCACUGGGCAUAAAGGGCGCGUAGGCGGUCUGAUAAGUCAGGUGUGAAAUCCCUCGGCCUAACCGAGGAACUGCAUUUGAUACUGUCGGGCUAGAGUACAGGAGGGGAGAGUGGAAUUCCUGGUGGAGCGGUGAAAUGCGUAGAUAUCAGGAGGAACGCCGGCGGCGAAAGCGACUCUCUGGCCUGUUACUGACGCUGAGGCGCGAAAGCUAGGGGAGCAAACGGGAUUAGAUACCCCGGUAGUCCUAGCCCUAAACGAUGGGCACUAAGUAGAGGGGUUUU
RNAcentral lists this ribosomal RNA (808 nucleotides) under uncultured Planctomycetota bacterium. Its description in RNAcentral is "bacterial SSU rRNA". It matches the Rfam family "Bacterial small subunit ribosomal RNA", at positions 46 to 832 of the family's 1533-position model. Lineage: Bacteria; Pseudomonadati; Planctomycetota. The record is from RNAcentral.